UACGUAGGGCGCAAGCGUUGUCCGGAAUUAUUGGGCGUAAAGAGCUCGUAGGCGGCUUGUCACGUCGGGUGUGAAAGCCCGGGGCUUAACCCCGGGUCUGCAUUCGAUACGGGCAGGCUAGAGUGUGGUAGGGGAGAUCGGAAUUCCUGGUGUAGCGGUGAAAUGCGCAGAUAUCAGGAGGAACGCCGGUGGCGAAGGCGGAUCUCUGGGCCAUUACUGACGCUGAGGAGCGAAAGCGUGGGGAGCGAACAGG
Molecule: ribosomal RNA, 253 nt
Filed under: uncultured bacterium
Lineage: Bacteria
Description: partial 16S ribosomal RNA
Rfam family: Bacterial small subunit ribosomal RNA
Source: RNAcentral